UCAGGCCUAACACAUGCAAGUCGAACGGUAACAGGUCUUCGGAUGCUGACGAGUGGCGAACGGGUGAGUAAUACAUCGGAACGUGCCCAGUAAUGGGGGAUAGCCCGGCGAAAGCCGGAUUAAUACCGCAUACGCCCUGAGGGGGAAAGUGGGGGACCGCAAGGCCUCUCGUUAUUGGAGCGGCCGAUGGCUGAUUAGCUAGUUGGUAGGGUAAAGGCCUACCAAGGCGACGAUCAGUAGCUGGUCUGAGAGGACGAUCAGCCACACUGGGACUGAGACACGGCCCAGACUCCUACGGGAGGCAGCAGUGGGGAAUUUUGGACAAUGGGGGAAACCCUGAUCCAGCAAUGCCGCGUGUGCGAAGAAGGCCUUCGGGUUGUAAAGCACUUUGUCAGGGAAGAAAUCCUUUGGGCUAAUACCCUAGGGGGAUGAC
RNAcentral lists this ribosomal RNA (433 nucleotides) under uncultured bacterium. Its description in RNAcentral is "bacterial SSU rRNA". It matches the Rfam family "Bacterial small subunit ribosomal RNA", at positions 42 to 473 of the family's 1533-position model. The record is from RNAcentral.